RNAcentral lists this ribosomal RNA (568 nucleotides) under Ruyongia tratensis. Its description in RNAcentral is "eukaryotic LSU rRNA". It matches the Rfam family "Eukaryotic large subunit ribosomal RNA", at positions 62 to 648 of the family's 3401-position model. RNAcentral also lists the same sequence under 1 other name. The record is from RNAcentral. Lineage: Eukaryota; Fungi; Ascomycota; Saccharomycetes; Phaffomycetales; Wickerhamomycetaceae.
AAACCAACAGGGAUUGCCUUAGUAACGGCGAGUGAAGCGGCAAAAGCUCAAAUUUGAAAGCUAGCACCUUCGGUGUUCGCAUUGUAAUUUGAAGAAGGUAUCUUUGGAGUUGGCCCUUGUCUAUGUUCCUUGGAACAGGACGUCAUAGAGGGUGAGAAUCCCGUCUGAUGGGGUGUCCAAUUCUUUGUAAAGAGCUUUCGAAGAGUCGAGUUGUUUGGGAAUGCAGCUCUAAGUGGGUGGUAAAUUCCAUCUAAAGCUAAAUAUUGGCGAGAGACCGAUAGCGAACAAGUACAGUGAUGGAAAGAUGAAAAGAACUUUGAAAAGAGAGUGAAAAAGUACGUGAAAUUGUUGAAAGGGAAGGGCAUUAGAUCAGACUUGGUGUUUUGUGAUUAUCUUCCUCUUGUAGGUUGUGCACUCGCAUUUCACUGGGCCAGCAUCGAUUCGGAUGGUAAGAUAAUGACAUUGGAAUGUGGCUACUUCGGUAGUGUUAUAGCCUUUGUUGAUGUUGCCUAUCUGGAUCGAGGACUGCGUCUUUGACUAGGAUGCUGGCGUAAUGAUCUAAUGCCGC